Molecule: unclassified non-coding RNA, 7061 nt
Filed under: Leishmania donovani
Lineage: Eukaryota; Euglenozoa; Kinetoplastea; Trypanosomatida; Trypanosomatidae
Description: gene:LdHU3.12.1420(CDS-product:hypothetical_prote in_conserved)
Source: RNAcentral
CACUCACGGAACCUUGUAACCCACACUGCGAAAUCAAAAACGACGACAAGCAGCAGUGACAUUAUCUGAGCACUCCCCGCCGGGUGUAUUCUCUUCGCUGGGCGCGUUUUCCCUUGUACUCGCAUCCUUUUUCCAUCAUUCUUCGCCGCUUCCAAGGACCCCACACCCGUCCAUAACUGGUGACCUCCUUCUGUAUCUCUUUGCACGUGGCUAUUACCUCUGGCGGUGACGGUGCGAAUGCGAGCGGGUCCUCGUCCUUCUUGAUUUUGUUUACUCGCCCUCGACAUCAUUUUGACCUACACGACCUCAUCGCUUCGCUCCGCUCGCGCUGCUGUGUCUCGAGAGUCUCUCGGUGAGUCUUCACUUUAAUUUUGUGUGCGUGCGUGUGCGGUUUCGUCUUCGCAGCACGCUUGGCUUGCCGGCUCUCCCUCCUUCCUUUCCGCAUACUCUGAUCCUCCACACACGCGCACGCAACUUCCACGCACACAGUGAGCACGUCUUAUAGGCUUGGGGUAUUUUGUUGACACGCCAGCCACUGCCUAUUGUGCCGGCCUAACUCAACGGAGUGGCACCAGCGUUCAACACGGGGCGACCGCGUAGGGCGCUAGAGCUACGGGAUCUUCUUCGGCAUUUCAAAAGGAGCUACAGUCGUGGCCCACCGCAGGAAGGCGUCUUUCUCUUCGAGUUCCGUUUUUGGGUCAUCCCUUUUUCGUUGUCUGUUCUCUUCGUUGUGGUUUGCGGCUACUCGUUCGCGAUCUCUUAGACGCUGCCUCUUGGCCCCUUCCCUCCCUCCCCCUCCGUGCUGGCUCGAACGCGAAUACGCAAGAAGGGAAAAGGGCACAUCAGACAGUGGAGGCGCCCCACCCCGCCCGCUUUCGUUGUUCUUCUUCCGCUCUUGUUCAUUGUCCUCCCCCUCCCCCUCUGCAUUGCCGCCUUAGAAAACAAAAGCACCCCCGCCCUUGUCCCAUCCCGCUUGCCAGCGCCUUCGACUGCCCACUUCCUUGCCUGGCCGCUCCUCCACACACACACACACACACGCGUGAGCGGUCUAGGAAAGAGAGACGCACCGGCAACGAACACAAGUACACGAAAGCACGCACAGAGAGGACGGCGGCGGUGGUUCAGUUUUGUUGAAGGAAAUUUCUGUGUGCUGUGUUGGGGUGGCUUGCUGGCUUGCUCCCCUCCCCUGUUCUCGCGCGCGCGUGUCCUUUUCUGUGUCCGUGCCCGUCCUUUUCCCGAAGAAGAGCGUCCUGUGUUCUCGUCCCUCUCAUUGUUUACAUCAGGUGCCGACCCUCGCAUACGCGAUUUUUUUUCUAGGUUCCUGCCCCUUAACCUUCUCGCGAAGAUGCCGUCACCCGCGCCCUUUACGAUGGCGAUGGAGUUUGCGCCGGAUGAGAGUCGCACUUCCUUCCCAGGCAGCCUCACCAUCACCAAGACAACGUUGACGGUGUUCAAGGCAAAAAGAAGCGCUGCCACCGCAGUGCGCGACCCCGCGACGAAUGAUUGCUUCUUCUUUGUUGGCGUGUGCAGCACACCGCUCAUCCAGUUUUAUCGCCACAAGAACGUCAUCACGCUCAUGCGCGGCACCAGCUUUCUCUUCGAUAAUGCCGCCGUCUCGAUCGACCUCCAGCUCGGCUCGGACGGCAGCAACCACAGAGCCUCGUCCAUUCACAGCAGCAACCGCUCCCGCCGCGAUAACCCAACGAUGUGGGAGACACUAGCGAUGCGCUUCGCCUCGCUGGAGGAUUGCGACCGCACUGUGGAGGUGCUGCUGGCCCACAGCGCUGAGGAGGUGUUUGUGCCACCGUUUCCGAUUCGCUCGCAGGGCCAUGCGUCGUGCAACACGUUAACUACUACGAGUCUGAACAGAUACAGCAGCCACAGUUCGCCGAUCUUAAACAGCCGCCGUUCAGCGUCGAGUCCCAUCAGUGAACGCCCUGAGCGCAGAGACAGUACGCACCGCUCCAGCACUCGAGGCAGCACUCCACAGACGGAAGUAUCGACCCCGCGCAGCUCCCGCCUACCCUGCCGCCGCGAGAGCGACGAUUCGGCAACGCGCUCGUCGGUGCGUACUGGCGAGCUCACGCCGCGCAGCUCCCGCUUGCCAUCUCGCCGCGAGAACGACGACAUGGCUUCUCUGUCGACGCCAUCGCAGUCGAUCCGCUCCUUGCAACAGCGCGUGGCGCCUGGCCGCUCCACUGCCGCCCGAACGCCGAGCCAGCCCGACUCUGAGAAGCUGCAGGGGCCACAGCGCCGCCAUCACAGCUCCGAGAAGAAGCGCGAUGCGUCGGCAGCGACAUCAGCGUCUCACAGCCGGUUGCACUCAUCUGCGCACCAUCGGCUAGCCGACCCGGCGGAGCGCGAGUUUGCCACGGUGGAGGUGGCCCGCCAGCCCAGUCGCCCGCACAGUCACCGCAGCCAUUCCCGCGCUUCUGCGUCGUCUCGGUCCCCGCAUCUCAACGGUACCGCUAUCGCCGCGCAUGAAGACAUCCAUGUGCGUCGCCACGGCACCCCGCGCAAUGCGCCCAGCACGCCCAGCGCCACUUCCAGCACUACCUCCGCGUCGGCGAUCCGCCGGUACGUCUCCCCCUGCAACGACACUAUCGACCGCAAGUCGAGCGUCAGCCCACGAAGCCCCGUGCCGCACACGAAGCUUGAGCAGGACGCCUUCCUGCGCAGCAUGCAGCCGCUGCAGCACAACCGCCUUCACUUCAUGCAGCACCUCCACAAGGAUAUAGCGCACCAUGUCUACUUGGCCGAGGAGGCGCAGUUAAAAGCCGCUACGGCGUCUGCCGAAACGAGCCUGUCGCGCCACAGUGCAAGCUCGGCCGCCGGAGGAGAGAUGCCGGAGGCGGGGGCGGCGCGCCUGCGUGAGAUUGAGGGUCGUUUGGUGAAGGUCGAGGCCCUCCAUCGUGAAGCGGAGCGUGAGCGCGAGGAGGCGGCGCGGCUGCGUCGCGAGUACGAGUUGAAGAACGAAGAAAUGAAUGCACGCAUCGGCGUCUCCCACGACGUGUCAGAGCUGAACUCGUCCUUGGUAAGCCCGCACCGUAGUAGUGUGCACCCGAUGAACGGUCAGCUGAUGGUGAUGCCGCAGCAGAACGGCGGGGGCAGCAGCUAUUUUUUGAUGGGUCACCAGGGAUGCGUCGUGUCACCAGAGUGGGCGCUGGCGGCCGAUCCGGCAGCGGCCCCCCGCCCCGACGACGUGGACCUCGGUGUCGCCAUCGUGGACCGCUACAUUUUUGGGGAGGAGUGGACCCGUGUCUACCCUGCCUACGAGGCGGAAGUCCGCUUCAACGCGCAGAUCGACGUCUGCCUCACGAUGAAGCUGCCACGCCGCCUCGUGGCCAUCACUAACAUUGUUGUUGACCGCCCCGGCCUGCGCGUGACAGCGGAGAUACGCUACGAUCGUGUCAAGAUCGAGCGUGACGGGGUGGAGCGGCGCAUGAACGGUUGCCCAUUCCGCUUCCUUCAGCGUUUCUACGACAUGCGCGACUUGUACGACCGCAUGCACGACGGCGCCGCCGCGGUCGCCGGCAGCGGGGGUGCGGCCAUAGUGAUGAAACCCAGUGCCGCAAAUGGUCGUCGCCUCUCUGCGGCCACUUCACGUCGGGCGUCUCGCACAGUCCCGGCGCCGCGCCGCCGCUCAAGCCAUGGCCCGCAAUACACCAACAGUGACGUGAGCGAGAUCGGGGAAAUCAUCGAAGACGACUACGACAUGGGCGGCCGCCGCGACGACUACGAUCGCGUCUGCGCUCCAGAGGACUUUAUGGUAAAGCGUCGCAGGCGCAUGGCCGCAGAGCUGCGCCGCCAGCUCGCAGACAGCAUGGCUCAGCUGGAGCAGGAGGAGGAUUACCUCCGUGACCGCAUCCAGCUCGCCGAGGCGAAGGACCGGCAGACGGUCGGCAGGGAGGUCCGCUUGAACGUGAAGGCGACGCUAAAGACUUCGUUGGCGAACCUGGAGGAGGAGGAGCGCGUGGAGCGGGCAGCGAUGGAGGUAAGUGCAGCGCGCCAGCUGCACGUGCUGAUGGGCAGCCACCGUCGGACGCUCGCGCUUUUCGGCUUACAAGCCAGCGAGGCCGAGCGGCGCAAGCAGAUCGGCGCGCAGGAGGCGCAGGCCCGACGUGACCUUAACGACGCCAUGAACCCAGCACUUGCGGCACAGCGAAAGCAGGCGGUGCGUCGGGCACGCGAGGGGGAGGCUCUUGCCCGCCGCGGCGCCCUGUACCCGAGCAAACGGGAGCUGGAGGCGGCCCUGGCAGACGUGGAGGCAGACGAGGUGGCGGCGCGUGCGAUUAUCCGCUCGCAAGCGAUGGAGGCGCUGCUAGACCUGCUCUCCCGCUCGCCGGCGCCGAAGUUCAAGGACGGUCGUCGUGCGCCGUUGUACGCAUCGUUCACGCUGAAUGCGCUCCUGAGCGACCUGCAAGCAGACGAGGCAGCGCAACGGCGUCAGAUCGCCGCCGAUGAGCGCCGCCGUCGCACGCUGUACCGGCAUGAGGACGUUGUCAAACGCGAGGCGGCGGAUCGUGUGGCCAUCGAAGGGGCGGAGAUCGACGACCGCGACGAAAUUGUGGAUGAUAUGAUGGCGCUGAACCGCCACCAGCUGGAGCGCCGGCUGAACGAUCGCGAGCAGCUGCUGAGUAUGAUCAACGAGGAGCAGUUCUAUCGCAAGACUGUUCUGUCGGACGAGCAGGACGCCUUCGAGGUCAUCGCGGAGCUCUUCACAGCGGGUCUGAAGGACUUGCUGGCCCGCACGCCGGAUGUCGGCGACGACGACGAUGAAGAUCUGCGCCGCCGCCGCGUGAGCACGACACGCCAGGCGAAGCCGUUCCACUACAUGACGUUCUCGCCGGAUGACAUGGACUACCCGCCGAGCGCCGUACUCGCCGUCGAGGGCAUCGUCGGCUGCUCAAUCAACAAGAACCUCGAGGUGGUUAGCGUGGCCCGGCCACUGCCGAAAGCAGAGAAGGAGGACCUGCAGCUGCAGGCGGGCGAUAUGAUUCUCGACGUGGCGGGCCACUCCCUUCACUCCCUGUCGCACCUGCGUGAGGUUUUGUCGAACCGCGCCCUGCAGAUCCAGGAGGAGACGUUUGCCGAGUUCCCAGACGUGCCGCAGGAUCAGCUCACCACCAGCCCGGCCUUGCAGAAGUACAUUGAGGUUCUCUGCGAGCACCACAACUUCCUGGUGCAGGUGCUCCGCGGAUGUGAGAUCUACCAGAUCAUUGUUCGCUCCUAGGCAGAUGAGAGCGUGUGCGGGAGGGGUCUACUGCCUUCCCUCCGUCACACUGGGCAACGCAGUGCUCGCGGUUCGAAUGAUGUGCACGCCCUGAUGGCACGUGCAACGCUUCGCCAGCCCCCGGCAAGCACUCGCCUGUGAGCGUAUCGGCAGCUCUGCGUCCGCAUGUGUGUAGUGAAACGUGUGGAGGCGUGCCUUCUCAUUUUUAUCUUACUUUUGGUUCCCCUCCCUUUUCGUUACUCACGCCCACAACCCCCUUCCCCUCCUCCCGUCCCCUAAAUUUCCUCUCCCACAAGCAGGUACACGCCAUGCAUACCCGCUGGAAAAGCAAUCCGCUGAUUUUCUAGACUUCCCCUCCCCUAAAUUUCCCUUCUAGAAGCGCCUUUACCGAUGAGGCACCUGUUGCUGCCGUGGCGCGCGCGUUCAUUUUUCUCUGUGUGUGCGGCUAUAUUGAACUGCGUCUCUUCUCUUUCUACUUGGGUGAGGAGCCAUCGCCGCCCUAACCCCCUCCUCUUACGCGCUUUUCGUUGCCUCCUCCUGUGUGCCACCCCCCCCUCGCCCUCCCCCAGUGGUAUUUGCGUGCGUGUCUGUGCAGUGCUCUCUUCCUGUUUGGCCUUCCACUCCUCAUGUCCUCGUGUCCUCCUCUUCCUCCUGGUGCUGCUGCGGCAGGCGGCACCGGCCUUCCGCUGCAGCACGACAGCAGAAAACGAAAAGCGGGGAAAGGGAAGGGAGGCGAGUAGAGGUGAGCGAACGCAAAAAAGAGAGCGCUGCUCAGAGGCUGACGGACGGACACACGCACACGCAGAGACAGAUAUACACCGCGAAUUCCAAGCGCGCGCGCACACACACACACAAGCACAGGCUUGUCGAAAAUGUACACAGGCAACGUCAUGGUCGAUAUAACGAGGCAGAAUAGAGCAUGUGGUUUCCUCUCGACAAGUAACUGAGCAGCAUGUCUCCUCCUUUCCGACACACCUUUUGGUUGGUGUUUGUUAGAUGUGCUUGAUGUUCAAGGGACGUUGACCUACCGAUCCCUACGUGCUCCACUUCGCGUGCAGCAGGGAUGACUGAACGCAGCCCGCUUGUACUUCUUCUCUCCCCCUCGCUUGUUGUUGUUAUCGUGCACUGGCUCUCUGCCACUGUGUGGUGCCCAUCAUCUCUCUCCUUCUUCCUCUCUUGCUCGUACCCGCGCACGGCGUGUGCGUCCUCUAUUUCAGCUGUGGGCUGGCGGGAUGCAGGGCGUACCGGUGCCGCACGCUGCUGUAGUGGUGCUAGAGAAGCACCGAACAUAGAGAGGGGGAGAGGGAGGAGUACACAGGUGCACACGUGUUCUCCGAUCUCGAUGUCAUCUGUCACCGUACACAUAGUUGCGUUCCAUCUCCCGCUGUUUUUGCGUCAUCUUUUUGUAUGUCGUUGGCGACGGGUAGGGCGACGGGAGGGGGGAGGGGGGACUGUGCCACCAUUCGCUCAUUUUGUUUUGUUUCCGGUGAUGCCCAGCGCUGUCUUCGUCAUGGCUGUGAUCUGCACCGUCACUCCACCGUGCUGGGGGACGGCAAAGCAGGAAAAAGAACCCCGCCCUCUCCGCCAUCGGAACGCGGACGAUCCUGUUGGAGGGGGGGGUGAUGGGUGGGUGGCGUGCGUGUGCCGCAUUUACCGCGGCGUGUUUUGUGCAUAGCUGAUGCUGCCGGUGCGGUUUGCUGUCUGUGUCUAUAUCUAUCUGUGUGUGUGUGUCUUCAUCGUAGAGUUGGUCGCACGUGGCGCUGAAAGCCAUCACCAAUCCCCACGUGCCCUAUUAGAGGACUAGCAACGGCGGUACCUACUCAGAAAC